Molecule: ribosomal RNA, 103 nt
Filed under: Mesocricetus auratus (golden hamster)
Lineage: Eukaryota; Metazoa; Chordata; Mammalia; Rodentia; Cricetidae
Source: RNAcentral
GUCUACGGCCAUACCACCCUGAACGCGCCCGAUCUCGUCUGAUCUCGGAAGACAUGUGUAGGUUCUAAAUCGUAUUAUUAUGAUUUGUUCAGUGAUGUAUAUG